UGAAAAAUUGAGAAAAGCUCGUUAGGGAAGACGAAUGCAUUUAAAGAGGUGUAAAUUUAAAUGUUUUGGAACCCAUUAUCAAAUAUUCAUAUUUUGUAUUAUGUCUCUGUUGUGCAAAGACACCUUAAGAUGGAGCCAAAGCCCUGGAUAAUAGGAAAGUAGUAAUUGGUGUCAUAUCAUGACAAAGUGGCAUCUUGACUGGUCUUUCUGAUCGCUGUGUGUCGGGGAGGAGCCAAAUUCAGGUUCCAAAGAGACUUCACCACAUUGUCAUUUAUUUAUUUAUUUAUUUUUUUGAAGGG
Molecule: long non-coding RNA, 299 nt
Organism: Hippocampus comes (tiger tail seahorse)
Lineage: Eukaryota; Metazoa; Chordata; Actinopteri; Syngnathiformes; Syngnathidae
Exons: 2
Source: RefSeq, a predicted model, not a curated record